GGGUCAGUAGGUUGGUCGUGCCACCGGUACGUACUGGUCUCACUGAUCCCUCCUUCCUGAAGAACCGUAAUGCCAUCAACUUGGUGUUGCGGGGAAACAGGACUAUUACUUUGAAAAAAUUAGAGUGUUUAAAGCAAGCUAACGCUUGAAUACAUUAGCAUGGAAUAAUGAAAUAGGACGAUCGAUCCUAUUUUGUUGGUUUCUAGGAUUGACGUA
Molecule: ribosomal RNA, 216 nt
Filed under: Glomeromycotina sp.
Lineage: Eukaryota; Fungi; Glomeromycota
Description: partial small subunit ribosomal RNA
Rfam family: Eukaryotic small subunit ribosomal RNA (bases 87-216)
Source: RNAcentral